This 1322-nucleotide ribosomal RNA is filed under the name metagenome. RNAcentral describes it as "bacterial LSU rRNA". It matches the Rfam family "Bacterial large subunit ribosomal RNA", at positions 1561 to 2925 of the family's 2925-position model. The record is from RNAcentral.
AGUGGAUGGGGAGCAACCUAUGUUGUGCGUGUGUAAAGGUAGUGCCAAGAAAAGCGAUGAUCAUGUUGAAAAUCAAUUCCCGGUACCCGAAACCGACACAGGUGGGCAAGUAGAGAAUACUAAGGGGCGCGAGGUAACUCUCUCCAAGGAACUCGGCAAAAUGACCCCGUAACUUAGGGAGAAGGGGUGCCACCGAGAGGUGGUCGCAGUGAAGAGGCCCAGGCGACUGUUUAGCAAAAACAUAGGUCUCUGCAAACUCGAAAGAGGAGGUAUAGGGGCUGACGCCUGCCCAGUGCCGGAAGGUUAAAGAAGUUGGUCAGUUUUAGGAUGAAGCUAGCGACUGAAGCCCCGGUGAACGGCGGCCGUAACUAUAACGGUCCUAAGGUAGCGAAAUUCCUUGUCGGGUAAGUUCCGACCCGCACGAAAGGCGUAACGAUCUGGGCGCUGUCUCGGAGAGAGGCUCGGCGAAAUAGAUUGUCUGUGAAGAUACGGACUACCUGCAUUUGGACAGAAAGACCCUAUGAAGCUUUACUACAGCUUGGAAUUGUGUUCGGGCUUCCUGUGCGCAGGAUAGGUGGGAGGCGUAGAAGGUAUUCUUGUGGGGAUACUGGAGCCAACGGUGAGAUACCACUCUCAGGAGGCUAGAAUUCUAACUUAAUUAAGGACAGUUUCAGGUGGGUAGUUUGACUGGGGCGGUCGCCUCCAAAAAGGUAACGGAGGCGUACAAAGGUUCCCUCAGACUGGUUGGAAAUCAGUCGAAGAGUGCAAAGGCAGAAGGGAGCUUGACUGCGAGAAGUACAGUUCGAGCAGGGUGGAAACACGGUCUUAGUGAUCCGACGGUGCUGUGUGGAAGGGCCGUCGCUCAACGGAUAAAAGUUACUCUAAGGAUAACAGGCUGAUCUCCCCCAAGAGUUCACAUCGACGGGGAGGUUUGGCACCUCGAUGUCGGCUCAUCGCAACCUGGGGCGGAAGUACGUCCCAAGGGUUGGGCUGUUCGCCCAUUAAAGCGGUACGUGAGCUGGGUUCAGAACGUCGUGAGACAGUUCGGUCCAUAUCCGAUGUAGGCGUGAGAAUAUUGAGAGGAGCCUUCCUUAGUACGAGAGGACCGGGAAGGACGCACCGCUGGUGUACCUGUUAUGAUGCCAAUUGUAAACGCAGGGUAGCCAAGUGCGGAGAGGAUAACCGCUGAAAGCAUCUAAGUGGGAAGCCCACCUCAAGAUGAGUAUUCUGGUGUAAGGUCACGGGAAGACGACCCGUAAAUAGGCACGAGGUGGAAGUGCAGAGAUGUAUGAAGCCGAAGUGUACUAAUAGACCGUCGGCUU